Molecule: long non-coding RNA, 943 nt
Organism: Lathyrus oleraceus (garden pea)
Lineage: Eukaryota; Viridiplantae; Streptophyta; Magnoliopsida; Fabales; Fabaceae
Exons: 2
Source: RefSeq, a predicted model, not a curated record
CACAAGCAAGGCCAACAUUUGUUUCUUGCACAGCUACACCAUUUUCUUUGUUCAGAAGUGCAGUUGUAUUUUCUCUGCCUGCAGAACUCUCAUCUUUUGCACCUAUUUCAAAAUUUAAGGACCUUCUACAUGACAUUUCGGCAGCUUCAGUUGUGUUUCCUUUUGAUUGUGCGGGCUUCGGGGUAGCUGGCUUCGGAGUUCUUUUGGGUUUUCCUUCUCUAAUAACCUUGGGGCGGUGCUUUUUUCUCCUUGUCUUUUUUUCUGGUAUUUUAUUCAGACCUGUACAGAGGCUGUUCGCCUCAUCUGGGUUGUGAUUCUCCUUCAAUGGUGAAGAAACAGCAGUAAAUUCCACAACAAGGUCGCUGAGUUCUUUGUUCGGCAAGGGUUCAUCCUUGUCAAGCAUUUUGGCAGGGUCGCCCUGGGAAGUUCUCUUGCUACAGCAAGCAUUGUCGGAUGUUUCUGCAUCAAAAGUUCAAAUAAAACUGAGAAUAAAAGCAAUACAGCCCCCAGUUUCAUAUACAGUAUUAAAAGGGAGUUAAAGCUGAAACUUUUGACAAGGAAAUAUUGAACUGAAGGCUAUGCCUCUGGAACAAAAGGUUGUAUGAUUUCCAUAGGGCAUCACAGUCUCAAGAUUUACAAGUUUCAAAGGAAAUUGUACUCUAAUACGCAGAUAAAUUUGUUUUAAGUAGAAAACUAGUUCUUUCAAUGAAAGCUUAAAAAUUCAAAAUUGAAUACACAAUUCUUCAUUUAUGUACAAAACCAGUGAUAAUGGGAAAAAAAUAACAUACUAUUUGCUUAGGAGCUAGAUUGAAACUACUAAUACAAUAUGAUAGCUAAUCACCGUAUGAACACUUUUGAUCAAAGAUAUGUUUGGUGUUUGACACGUGUCAGCAAACACCGAAAGCCCACACAUUCAAUUAAUCCAUUUUCUCAAAUUAUUAUC